This 536-nucleotide unclassified non-coding RNA is filed under the name Hevea brasiliensis (rubber tree). Lineage: Eukaryota; Viridiplantae; Streptophyta; Magnoliopsida; Malpighiales; Euphorbiaceae. The record is from RNAcentral.
UUAAAUUCUUAAAUAUUUCAUUUAAAAAAAAAAAAAAAACUUAUCUGGAGAGAUAUCCUUUAUAUAGUAGCCAAUCAUUAAGUUAUUAUAACAAAUUAUUUGUGAGUCAUUUGAUGUUAGUGAGAUAAGCGUAGUCUAAUACACUUCUUUUAUUGGAUAUGUCAUAAGGAUAAGUGGAUAAUGGUAUCUUGUACCUAUCAGAUAUUAAAUGUAGACUCGUUUAUCUUAGUUGGGUGAUGUGAGGUUGAUUUGAUGGAGUUGAUAGGUCUCUAUUUGACUAGAACUACUCAAUUGGUUCGUUUGACUUGCCCAUUUUGAUUGAUGAUUCCAUUUAAUUCAUAUGAAGGUCUUGAAGAAAAUUUUGUUGGUUUAGAUGAUGUUCACUUUUUGAAAUUUUCGUGAAAAUAAUAUAUAGCCAUCUAUUCUAUGAAUGAGAAUCAUGCAAUAUAGUUUGUACAAGUACUCUGCUGAAUUUCCUCCAUUAUGCCUACGUUCCUAUUGUUAUAUACUUUUAUUUGUGGAUUCUGUCAUUGCCC